Phodopus roborovskii (desert hamster) is the source of this 67-nucleotide non-coding RNA. NCBI's taxonomy places the organism in Eukaryota, Metazoa, Chordata, Mammalia, Rodentia, Cricetidae. The record is from the annotation of a RefSeq genome assembly.
GUAGGUAUAGUUUAUAAAAACAUCAGACCGUGAACCUGAAGACAGGGUAUUAAAACCCUUAUCUACC